GAUGAACGCUAGCGGCAGGCUUAACACAUGCAAGUCGAGGGGCAGCAUGAGACGGAGAUUCGUCGAAGUCUUGAUGGCGACCGGCGCAAGGGUGCGUAACGCGUGAGCAACUUGCCCGUUUCAGGGGGAUAACCGGUGGAAACGCCGACUAAUACCCCAUAGUAUUGGUUUGAGGCAUCUCUUACCAAUUAAAGAAUUUCGGAAACGGAUAGGCUCGCGUGACAUUAGCUAGAUGGCGGGGUAACGGCCCACCAUGGCUACGAUGUCUAGGGGUUCUGAGAGGAAGGUCCCCCACACUGGAACUGAGACACGGUCCAGACUCCUACGGGAGGCAGCAGUGAGGAAUAUUGGUCAAUGGUCUGACGACUGAACCAGCCAUGCCGCGUGAAGGUCACGGCCCUAUGGGUCUUAAACUUCUUUUGUAAGGGAGCAAUAAGUCUCACGUGUGGGAUGAUGAGAGUACCUUACGAAUAAGCAUCGGCUAACUCCGUGCCAGCAG
RNAcentral lists this ribosomal RNA (499 nucleotides) under uncultured bacterium. RNAcentral describes it as "bacterial SSU rRNA". It matches the Rfam family "Bacterial small subunit ribosomal RNA", at positions 28 to 514 of the family's 1533-position model. The record is from RNAcentral.